RNAcentral lists this ribosomal RNA (560 nucleotides) under Psilocybe weraroa. Its description in RNAcentral is "eukaryotic LSU rRNA". It matches the Rfam family "Eukaryotic large subunit ribosomal RNA", at positions 103 to 645 of the family's 3401-position model. Lineage: Eukaryota; Fungi; Basidiomycota; Agaricomycetes; Agaricales; Agrocybaceae. The record is from RNAcentral.
AAAAGCUCAAAUUUAAAAUCUGGUGGUCUUUGGCCGUCCGAGUUGUAAUCUAGAGAAGUGUUAUCCGCGCUGGACCGUGUACAAGUCUCCUGGAAUGGAGCGUCAUAGAGGGUGAGAAUCCCGUCUUUGACACGGACUGCCAGGGCUUUGUGAUGCGCUCUCAAAGAGUCGAGUUGUUUGGGAAUGCAGCUCAAAAUGGGUGGUAAAUUCCAUCUAAAGCUAAAUAUUGGCSAGAGACCGAUAGCGAACAAGUACCGUGAGGGAAAGAUGAAAAGAACUUUGGAAAGAGAGUUAAACAGWACGUGAAAUUGCUGAAAGGGAAACGCUUGAAGUCAGUCGCGUUGGCCGGGGAUCAACCUUGCUUUUGCUGGGCGUACUUUCCGGUCKACGGGUCAGCAUCAAUUUUGACCGUUGGAUAAAGGCUGAGGGAAUGUGGCUCCUUCGGGAGUGUUAUAACCCUUGGUCGCAUACAACGAUUGGGAUUGAGGAACUCAGCACGCCGCAAGGCCGGGUACUUGUACCACGUUCGUGCUUAGGAUGCUGGCAUAAUGGCUUUAAUC